UGCUAAAAUGAUGACAAAUGGAUG
RNAcentral lists this non-coding RNA (24 nucleotides) under Arabidopsis thaliana (thale cress). Lineage: Eukaryota; Viridiplantae; Streptophyta; Magnoliopsida; Brassicales; Brassicaceae. The record is from RNAcentral.